RNAcentral lists this ribosomal RNA (253 nucleotides) under uncultured bacterium. Its description in RNAcentral is "partial 16S ribosomal RNA". It matches the Rfam family "Bacterial small subunit ribosomal RNA", at positions 524 to 776 of the family's 1533-position model. The record is from RNAcentral.
UACAGAGGUCUCAAGCGUUGUUCGGAUUCAUUGGGCGUAAAGGGUGCGUAGGCGGCGCGGUAAGUCGGGUGUGAAAUCUCGGGGCUUAACUCCGAAACUGCACUCGAUACUGCCGUGCUUGAGGACUGGAGAGGAGACUGGAAUUUACGGUGUAGCGGUGAAAUGCGUAGAUAUCGUAAGGAAGACCAGUGGCGAAGGCGGGUCUCUGGACAGUUCCUGACGCUGAGGCACGAAGGUCAGGGGAGCAAACGGG